UGGGUAGGGGAGCGUUCUGUAAGCCUGUGAAGGUGGCCUGUGAGGGUUGCUGGAGGUAUCAGAAGUGCGAAUGCUGACAUAAGUAACGAUAAAGCGGGUGAAAAGCCCGCUCGCCGGAAGACCAAGGGUUCCUGUCCAACGUUAAUCGGGGCAGGGUGAGUCGACCCCUAAGGCGAGGCCGAAAGGCGUAGUCGAUGGGAAACGGGUUAAUAUUCCCGUACUUGGUGUUACUGCGAAGGGGGGACGGAGAAGGCUAUGUUGGCCGGGCGACGGUUGUCCCGGUUUAAGCGUGUAGGUGUGUGUUCCAGGUAAAUCCGGUUCACUUUAACACUGAGGCGUGAUGACGAGGCACUACGGUGCUGAAGCAACAAAUGCCCUGCUUCCAGGAAAAGCCUCUAAGCAUCAGGUAACAUCAAAUCGUACCCCAAACCGACACAGGUGGUCAGGUAGAGAAUACCAAGGCGCUUGAGAGAACUCGGGUGAAGGAACUAGGCAAAAUGGUGCCGUAACUUCGGGAGAAGGCACGCUGACAUGUAGGUGAAGUGAUUUACUCAUGGAGCUGAAGUCAGUCGAAGAUACCAGCUGGCUGCAACUGUUUAUUAAAAACACAGCACUGUGCAAACACGAAAGUGGACGUAUACGGUGUGACGCCUGCCCGGUGCCGGAAGGUUAAUUGAUGGGGUCAGCGCAAGCGAAGCUCCUGAUCGAAGCCCCGGUAAACGGCGGCCGUAACUAUAACGGUCCUAAGGUAGCGAAAUUCCUUGUCGGGUAAGUUCCGACCUGCACGAAUGGCGUAAUGAUGGCCAGGCUGUCUCCACCCGAGACUCAGUGAAAUUGAACUCGCUGUGAAGAUGCAGUGUACCCGCGGCAAGACGGAAAGACCCCGUGAACCUUUACUAUAGCUUGACACUGAACAUUGAGCCUUGAUGUGUAGGAUAGGUGGGAGGCUUUGAAGUGUGGACGCCAGUCUGCAUGGAGCCGGCCUUGAAAUACCACCCUUUAAUGUUUGAUGUUCUAACGUGGACCCGUAAUCCGGGUUGCGGACAGUGUCUGGUGGGUAGUUUGACUGGGGCGGUCUCCUCCUAAAGAGUAACGGAGGAGCACGAAGGUUGGCUAAUCCUGGUCGGACAUCAGGAGGUUAGUGCAAUGGCAUAAGCCAGCUUGACUGCGAGCGUGACGGCGCGAGCAGGUGCGAAAGCAGGUCAUAGUGAUCCGGUGGUUCUGAAUGGAAGGGCCAUCGCUCAACGGAUAAAAGGUACUCCGGGGAUAACAGGCUGAUACCGCCCAAGAGUUCAUAUCGACGGCGGUGUUUGGCACCUCGAUGUCGGCUCAUCACAUCCUGGGGCUGAAGUAGGUCCCAAGGGUAUGGCUGUUCGCCAUUUAAAGUGGUACGCGAGCUGGGUUUAGAACGUCGUGAGACAGUUCGGUCCCUAUCUGCCGUGGGCGCUGGAGAACUGAGGGGGGCUGCUCCUAGUACGAGAGGACCGGAGUGGACGCAUCACUGGUGUUCGGGUUGUCAUGCCAAUGGCACUGCCCGGUAGCUAAAUGCGGAAGAGAUAAGUGCUGAAAGCAUCUAAGCACGAAACUUGCCCCGAGAUGAGUUCU
This 1605-nucleotide ribosomal RNA is filed under the name Salmonella enterica. RNAcentral's name for it is "bacterial LSU rRNA". It matches the Rfam family "Bacterial large subunit ribosomal RNA", at positions 1225 to 2812 of the family's 2925-position model. The record is from RNAcentral. Lineage: Bacteria; Pseudomonadati; Pseudomonadota; Gammaproteobacteria; Enterobacterales; Enterobacteriaceae.